This 253-nucleotide ribosomal RNA is filed under the name uncultured bacterium. Its description in RNAcentral is "partial 16S ribosomal RNA". It matches the Rfam family "Bacterial small subunit ribosomal RNA", at positions 524 to 776 of the family's 1533-position model. The record is from RNAcentral.
UACGUAGGGUGCGAGCGUUGUCCGGAAUUAUUGGGCGUAAAGGGCUCGUAGGCGGUUUGUCGCGUCGGGAGUGAAAACCUCGGGCUUAACUCGGGGCUUGCUUUCGAUACGGGCAGACUGGAGGUAUGCAGGGGAGAACGGAAUUCCUGGUGUAGCGGUGAAAUGCGCAGAUAUCAGGAGGAACACCGGUGGCGAAGGCGAAUCACUGGACCGCUUCUGACGCUGAGGCGCGAAAGCUAGGGGAGCAAACAGG